This 326-nucleotide ribosomal RNA is filed under the name Acinetobacter baumannii. RNAcentral's name for it is "partial 23S ribosomal RNA". It matches the Rfam family "Bacterial large subunit ribosomal RNA", at positions 330 to 662 of the family's 2925-position model. Lineage: Bacteria; Pseudomonadati; Pseudomonadota; Gammaproteobacteria; Moraxellales; Moraxellaceae. The record is from RNAcentral.
UAGUGGAACGGUCUGGAAAGUCCGACGGUACAGGGUGAUAGUCCCGUACACCAAAAUGCACAGGUUGUGAACUCGAAGAGUAGGGCGGGACACGUGGUAUCCUGUCUGAAUAUGGGGGGACCAUCCUCCAAGGCUAAAUACUCCUGACUGACCGAUAGUGAACCAGUACCGUGAGGGAAAGGCGAAAAGAACCCCGGCGAGGGGAGUGAAAAAGAACCUGAAACCGUGUACGUACAAGCAGUGGGAGCACCUUCGGGUGUGACUGCGUACCUUUUGUAUAAUGGGUCAGCGACUUAUAUUCUGUAGCAAGGUUAACCGUAUAGGGG